RNAcentral lists this transfer RNA (71 nucleotides) under Streptomyces sp. B4I13. Its description in RNAcentral is "tRNA-Gln". It matches the Rfam family "tRNA". Rfam says of the family: Transfer RNA (tRNA) molecules are approximately 80 nucleotides in length. Their secondary structure includes four short double-helical elements and three loops (D, anti-codon, and T loops). Lineage: Bacteria; Bacillati; Actinomycetota; Actinomycetes; Kitasatosporales; Streptomycetaceae. The record is from RNAcentral.
UCCUCGCUGGUGUAACGGCAGCACGCCCGCCUCUGAAGCGGGUAGUCCAGGUUCGAAUCCAGGGCGAGGAG